This 253-nucleotide ribosomal RNA is filed under the name uncultured Rhizophagus. RNAcentral describes it as "partial 28S ribosomal RNA". It matches the Rfam family "Eukaryotic large subunit ribosomal RNA", at positions 383 to 664 of the family's 3401-position model. The record is from RNAcentral. Lineage: Eukaryota; Fungi; Glomeromycota; Glomeromycetes; Glomerales; Glomeraceae.
GAGAGUUAAACAGUACGUGAAAUUGUUGAAAGGGAAACGAUUGAAGCCAGUCGUACCUUCGGGGAUCGAGAUUGAGGAUUGCAACGGAUACCCUUCGGGGCUACCUGUCUGAUCUCUGAUCGUUGCUUUGGUGCUGAAAGCGUGCUUAUAGUUAUCAAAGUCGAUGGUUAAUAGGUUAGAAUGGGUUAAAUUCGUUAAGGAUGUUGACGUAAUGGCUUUAAACGACCCGUCUUGAAACACGGCUGUCUCUUAU